GCGGGUGUAGCUCAGUGGUAGAGCGCCUGCUUGCCAAGCAGGAGGUCGCGGGUUCAAAUCCCGUCGCCCGCU
Molecule: non-coding RNA, 72 nt
Organism: Thermosipho melanesiensis BI429
Lineage: Bacteria; Thermotogati; Thermotogota; Thermotogae; Thermotogales; Fervidobacteriaceae
Source: Rfam